UAACUUCAGUUUCAGUUCUCCAGAAGUAAUUUCAGUAACUUUCCUUGAAUAACAAUAUUGUUCAUAGUUAUUCACUCAUCUCUGUGAGAUUUGGGUGUGUAUAUAAGUAUGUGUUUUCAAACUAGUCUACAGAGUAUAUCUGAAUAAAAACCUGGGGAUUCUAUUGGGCAAAAAAAAGAAAAAAGAAUAGUUCAUAUGGUGGUCAAAUGGGAUCUGCACAACAAGUCUUUAAAUACAUUUCUUUUAAGAUAAUUGACAAAUAGGGAAAAAAGGUAAACCACCAGUAAAAAAGCAGGAAAAGAAUAAAGGCAGGAUUUGCCCUCUUUGGGCCAACAAGACAUCUUAUCUUUCAUUUAAACAGAUUCCCUGAUCACACCAGAAGCAAAUUAUCAGAAAUAAAUGGAUAUAAGGAAACUUACCAGUGAAGAAGCAAUUUCUUCAGCAAAGUCCAACUAGAGUCAUGUUUGGGCUUUUUGGUACAAUCACUACUGAGCCUUUCAACUUAGAAGGUUAGAGACCAAGGCUCAAUUCUGUUGAUAUUACUGUGUCAUUCAAAGUCUACAAAAUGUAU
Heterocephalus glaber (naked mole-rat) is the source of this 571-nucleotide long non-coding RNA. RefSeq lists it as uncharacterized. The record is from RefSeq and is a predicted model, not a curated record. Lineage: Eukaryota; Metazoa; Chordata; Mammalia; Rodentia; Bathyergidae.